Salvia miltiorrhiza (redroot sage) is the source of this 3314-nucleotide RNA transcript. It is a transcript of the gene named pentatricopeptide repeat-containing protein At1g52620-like, with no coding region annotated. Lineage: Eukaryota; Viridiplantae; Streptophyta; Magnoliopsida; Lamiales; Lamiaceae. The transcript has 2 exons. The record is from RefSeq and is a predicted model, not a curated record.
AAAAAAAAGUUGAUCAUUUAAAACUCAUAAAAAAUCGAGAGAGAGAGCGAGUGAUAUAAGCAGGUAAUUUUAAACUGGGUGUAAGCGUAAGCAUACCUUUUGUCUACAUGUCCAAGGCAAUUCUCAGACUCAUUAAACCCUUAAACCGCCCCCAACCUAGAAUCAAGUCAGCCGUUAAAAUUCUCAUCACUCCUCAAAUCAAGAAUUUGGCCAAUGAAGUUUGUGAAAUUCUCCGAAGUGAAGACAAACAGUGGGAAGAGUCCCUUCAGAAUCGUUUUAUUGGGGAUGAUAUUACUCCUUCUGAAGUUGCCCACCUAGUGUUCGACAAAAUUCGCGACUGCGAAUUGGGUCUCAAGUUCUAUGGUUUCAUCUCUCAUAACAGUUUUGACCUCGAUGGGUUCGCUUACUCCUCACUUUUGAAGCUCUUGGCUCGGUCCAGAGUCUUCGCAGAAAUCGACACCGUAUUGUUGGAGUGUUUGCAUUCUGAAGAGAAGCGGCCUACUCACGAGGCGUUAGGUAUUGUAUUCUUAUCUGUUGAGGAACUACAACGCGCUGCCCCAGUUACCGGCAUGUAAUUCUUUGCUUAACGGGCUUGUGAAGGAAGGAAAGUUGGACGCUGCGUGGCGUGUGUAUGAGGAGAUGGUGAGGAGAGAUGAAGCCAGUGAGAUAAGUUGUUUGGACAAUUACAGUGUUUCUAUAAUGGUGAAGGGAUUGUGUAAAGAAGGAAAGGUUGAGAAAGGUAGAAGGUUGAUUGAGAAGAGGUGGGGAAGGAACUGCAUUCCAAAUAUUGUGUUCUAUAAUAUUCUCAUUGAUGGAUAUUGCAAGAGAGGUGAUCUCACGAGGGCUCAUGAGUUUUUCGAAGAGUUGAAAGUGAAGGGUUUCUUUCCGAACCAUGAGACUUAUGGGGCUAUGAUUGAUGGAUUUUGCAAGAGAGGGGAGUUUGAGAAGGUUGAUCAAAUGUUAAAGGAAAUGGAGUCCAGCGGUAUUGAGGUGAAUACCGUAAUCUAUAACAAUGUUGUUGAUGGUAAAUGUAAAUAUAGCCUUGUUGGAGAAGCUUUCGAGACCACAAGAAAGAUGAUGGAAGUAGGGUGCCCGUUGGACAUUGUGACGUAUAAUUCUUUGAUUUCUAAUGCUUGUAAAGAUGGGAAUGUGCUGGACGCGGAAAAGCUUUUGGAGGAGGUAAUCAAUCGCGGAUUGGUUCCCAAUAAGCUAAGCUUUACCCCUCUUAUACAUGCCUACUGCAGGGAGCAAAAUUUUGAGAGAGCAUCAUGUCUUCUUGUUGAGAUGACACGAAGUGGACAUAAGCCCGACUUGAUAACCUAUGGAGGUCUCAUUCAUGGCUUAGUUGUUGCUGGAGAAGUUGAGGCUGCUUUGACAAUCCGAAACAAUAUGGUGGAAAGGGGAGUGUCUCCCGAUGCAUGCAUUUACAAUGUGUUAAUUAACGGACUUUGCAAAAAGAGUAGGUUUGCUGAUGCAGAGCAGCUUCUCCAAGAGAUGCUUGGCUGUAAUGUGUCUCUCGAUGCAUAUGUUUAUGCCACUUUGGUUGAUGGAUAUAUAAGAAGUGGCAACUUUGAUGAUGCUGAAAAACUUUUUGACCUCAUAAUCAAAAGAGGUGUCGAUCCUGGGAUUGUAGGGUAUAAUGCUAUGAUUAAGGGCUACUGCAAGCUUGGGAAGAUAAAAGAUGCCGUUCUUUGCAUUAAUAAGAUGACUAGAAGAAACAUCUCUCCGGAUGAAUUUACAUAUUCUACAAUCAUUGAUGGAUUCAUAAAGCAGAAUGAUUUGCUUGGUGCAUUGACUGUAUUUGGCCUCGUCAUCAAACAGAAGUACACGCCAAAUGUUGUGAUGUAUACCUCAAUCAUCAGUGGCUUUUGUCGUUGUAGGCAUGUUUCUGGUGCAGAAAGGAUUCUCCGAGGAAUGCAAUCAAAUGGUGUGCCGCCUAAUGUUGUGACUUAUUCUGUAAUGAUAGGCAGCUGUUGCAAAGAGGGGAAACUUGCACAAGCAUCUUCCUUUUUCGAAGAAAUGAUGAUGAGCAAGUGUAAUCCCAAUGAUGUUACAUUUCAUUAUUUGGUGAACGGGCUAUCAAACAAUGCUGCUUCUAUUAUUCAGUCGACACAAGAUGGUUCUGAGUGGCAUAAGCCUAUGCUUCUUGAUAUCUUUGGGACAAUGGUGUGUGAUGGUUGGCAUCCCAUAUCUGCUGCGUACAGCUCGAUUGUCGCUUGUCUUUGUUUAAACAGGAUGCUUGGAACUGCGUUACAGCUGACUGAUAAGAUGUUGAAUAAAGGCUUCCCUCUAGACUCGGUGAGUUUGGCUGCUCUAUUACAUGGGGCUUGUUUAGUAGGGAAAUCUAAAGAAUGGAAUAGCAUGAUUACUUCCAAACCUAUUGAUGCAAAGCUUGAUGUUGCUUUGAAGUAUUUGACCAUAUUUGGGCGCUACUCGACUCAUGAACUGACUAAGGAGACCUCAGUGAUUUUGCAUUCCUUGCUACAAGAUUCAUGUCUAACGAAUGAAUUGGCAGGUUCUAGAAGUCUUAAUAAACAAUAGGAAACACUUCAAAGUCUGAGCAUGUGAUAUUUCUUGUGAUGGUGUACAGUUUUCUGGGAAUUUGAGGUUGAGAAACUCUACAUUCCAAGCUAUUUAUUUCGUGAUUUUGUUCUGUAUGGCUCACCGGAUUAUCAUAUUUCAAUGGGUGUAUGGCUUUCCUCCAUUUGGUAGCUUAUAUCAGAAGCAACUGAGGCACCAACUACCAUGAUGUAUGCAGCAGCAACAUAUGAACAAGCAGAUAAUGAGGCGAACAUCCCACUGUUCUAUUCGUUCAAAGAAGCAAUUAUGCGCCCUUACGUAACAUGUCAUCAUAAGGAUGGAUCACCUGCAGGGAAUAGGCUGAUUCUCUCAUCAUACUUCCCUCAGCAGGCAACACUUUUCCAACAAGUGAGAAACUAUUAUCUCCAUAUUUCGUUCUGAACCAAGCCAUUUUCACCAGGAGAUACAGUAUGGUAUUUUCUUCGAAAGUAGGCAGUGUGGGAAAGGUGAAGCUACGGUUAUCUUGAUGUCGCACUAUCAAAUGAAUGGACUGUGGUGUUUUACUCUAAGAAUGGCGUGGGGGCAGAGUAGCUAUUGUUAGCAGGGUAUAUUUUUCCCUGGAGGUUGAUCUGAAAGAUUUUAUUACAUUGUAACAGAUCUAGAUGGAAACAUAAGCAGAUUUCAAGCUAAAAGUGCAAUUUUGAAUUGUUCUUAUUCAGAUUUUCAUAAUAAGUGUAGAACAUCUUGAAGAUUUUAUUCACUUUUACAUAUUAGGCUCUGCGAAUUUCAACAGA